This 930-nucleotide ribosomal RNA is filed under the name uncultured Clostridium sp. RNAcentral describes it as "bacterial SSU rRNA". It matches the Rfam family "Bacterial small subunit ribosomal RNA", at positions 28 to 978 of the family's 1533-position model. Lineage: Bacteria; Bacillati; Bacillota; Clostridia; Eubacteriales; Clostridiaceae. The record is from RNAcentral.
GACGAACGCUGGCGGCGUGCCUAACACAUGCAAGUCGAGCGAUGAAACCCUUCGGGGUGGAUUAGCGGCGGACGGGUGAGUAACACGUGGGUAACCUGCCUCAAAGAGAGGGAUAGCCUCCCGAAAGGGAGAUUAAUACCGCAUAACAUUAGUUUUUCGCAUGAAGAACUAAUUAAAGGAGUAAUCCGCUUUGAGAUGGAUCCGCGGCGCAUUAGCUAGUUGGUGAGGUAAAGGCUCACCAAGGCGACGAUGCGUAGCCGACCUGAGAGGGUGAUCGGCCACAUUGGAACUGAGACACGGUCCAGACUCCUACGGGAGGCAGCAGUGGGGAAUAUUGCACAAUGGGCGAAAGCCUGAUGCAGCAACGCCGCGUGAGUGAUGAAGGCCUUCGGGUUGUAAAGCUCUGUCUUUUGGGACGAUAAUGACGGUACCAAAGGAGGAAGCCACGGCUAACUACGUGCCAGCAGCCGCGGUAAUACGUAGGUGGCGAGCGUUGUCCGGAUUUACUGGGCGUAAAGGAUGCGUAGGCGGAUAUUUAAGUGAGAUGUGAAAUACCCGAGCUUAACUUGGGUGCUGCAUUUCAAACUGGAUAUCUAGAGUGUGGGAGAGGAGAAUGGAAUUCCUAGUGUAGCGGUGAAAUGCGUAGAGAUUAGGAAGAACACCAGUGGCGAAGGCGAUUCUCUGGACCAUAACUGACGCUGAGGCAUGAAAGCGUGGGUAGCAAACAGGAUUAGAUACCCUGGUAGUCCACGCCGUAAACGAUGAGUACUAGGUGUAGGGGGGUCCAACCCUCUGUGCCGCAGUUAACACAAUAAGUACUCCGCCUGGGAAGUACGAUCGCAAGAUUAAAACUCAAAGGAAUUGACGGGGGCCCGCACAAGCAGCGGAGCAUGUGGUUUAAUUCGAAGCAACGCGAAGAACCUUACCUGG